AUUCCUUUCGGUGGGUACAAGCUGAGUGGCAUAGGCCGGGAAAAGGGAAUUUACAGCCUUAACGCUUACUUGCAAGUAAAGGCCGUCGUUCAACCUGUGAAGAACCCAGCAUGGCUUUAGUUUCCUGAAGUUCCCCCUCCCUUUUAAUCUGUGUUUAUGAAUAAGGACAGCGUGCUAAUAUCAGCUUGUAAUUAUGGAGCAAAUGGAUAAUUUACUUUAAAAGAACUUACUUUCUUUUGUGCUGUAAGCACAAUGAUGCCUGUCUGUUGAUCAAGGCAGCUUUCACUGAAAUUUGAAUGGUAUGGAGUGUUAUUGUAUACUUUAUCCUAGAUCCAAGACUGAAAGAUCGAACUGCCAUGAAGGAUUAGCCGGAUUGCCA
RNAcentral lists this long non-coding RNA (379 nucleotides) under Citrus maxima (pomelo). Its description in RNAcentral is "long non-coding RNA (CMAX_LNC002082)". The record is from RNAcentral. Lineage: Eukaryota; Viridiplantae; Streptophyta; Magnoliopsida; Sapindales; Rutaceae.